This 99-nucleotide transfer RNA is filed under the name Actinoplanes philippinensis. RNAcentral describes it as "tRNA-Asp". Lineage: Bacteria; Bacillati; Actinomycetota; Actinomycetes; Micromonosporales; Micromonosporaceae. The record is from RNAcentral.
AGCGGCGUGGUCGACGGCGAUCGUCAGGCUGCGCUGUCGUCGCUGCACCGGCGGGUCGACCGGUCCGUCGGCGCCGGUUUGAAGCUCGGCUGCGCCUAC